CAAUAGCGUAUAUUAAAGUUGUUGCGGUUAAAAAGCUCGUAGUUGGAUUUCUGCCGAGGACGACCGGUCCGCCCUCUGGGUGUGUAUCUGGUUUGGCCUGGGCAUCUUCUUGGAGAACGUAGCUGCACUUGACUGUGUGGUGCGGUGUCCAGGACUUUUACUUUGAGGAAAUUAGAGUGUUUCAAGCAGGCACACGCCUUGAAUACAUUAGCAUGGAAUAAUAAGAUAGGACCUCGGUUCUAUUUUGUUGGUUUCUAGAGCUGAGGUAAUGAUUAAUAGGGAUAGUUGGGGGCAUUCGUAUUUAACUGUCAGAGGUGAAACUCUUGGAUUUGUUAAAGACGGACUACUGCGAAAGCAUUUGCCAAGGAUGUUUUCAUUGA
RNAcentral lists this ribosomal RNA (380 nucleotides) under uncultured eukaryote. RNAcentral's name for it is "partial 18S ribosomal RNA". It matches the Rfam family "Eukaryotic small subunit ribosomal RNA", at positions 592 to 976 of the family's 1831-position model. The record is from RNAcentral.